Molecule: ribosomal RNA, 653 nt
Filed under: Salmonella enterica subsp. enterica serovar Infantis
Lineage: Bacteria; Pseudomonadati; Pseudomonadota; Gammaproteobacteria; Enterobacterales; Enterobacteriaceae
Also listed under: 2 other names
Description: partial 23S ribosomal RNA
Rfam family: Bacterial large subunit ribosomal RNA
Source: RNAcentral
GGAGGCUUUGAAGCGUGGACGCCAGUCUGCGUGGAGCCGACCUUGAAAUACCACCCUUUAAUGUUUGAUGUUCUAACGUGGAUCCGUAAUCCGGGUUGCGGACAGUGUCUGGUGGGUAGUUUGACUGGGGCGGUCUCCUCCUAAAGAGUAACGGAGGAGCACGAAGGUUGGCUAAUCCUGGUCGGACAUCAGGAGGUUAGUGCAAUGGCAUAAGCCAGCUUGACUGCGAGCGUGACGGCGCGAGCAGGUGCGAAAGCAGGUCAUAGUGAUCCGGUGGUUCUGAAUGGAAGGGCCAUCGCUCAACGGAUAAAAGGUACUCCGGGGAUAACAGGCUGAUACCGCCCAAGAGUUCAUAUCGACGGCGGUGUUUGGCACCUCGAUGUCGGCUCAUCACAUCCUGGGGCUGAAGUAGGUCCCAAGGGUAUGGCUGUUCGCCAUUUAAAGUGGUACGCGAGCUGGGUUUAGAACGUCGUGAGACAGUUCGGUCCCUAUCUGCCGUGGGCGCUGGAGAACUGAGGGGGGCUGCUCCUAGUACGAGAGGACCGGAGUGGACGCAUCACUGGUGUUCGGGUUGUCAUGCCAAUGGCACUGCCCGGUAGCUAAAUGCGGAAGAGAUAAGUGCUGAAAGCAUCUAAGCACGAAACUUGCCCCGA